RNAcentral lists this ribosomal RNA (336 nucleotides) under uncultured bacterium. Its description in RNAcentral is "bacterial SSU rRNA". It matches the Rfam family "Bacterial small subunit ribosomal RNA", at positions 8 to 334 of the family's 1533-position model. The record is from RNAcentral.
AGGGUUUGAUUAUGGCUCAGGAUGAACGCUAGCUACAGGCUUAACACAUGCAAGUCGAGGGGCAGCAUUUCAGUUUGCUUGCAAACUGGAGAUGGCGACCGGCGCACGGGUGAGUAACACGUAUCCAACCUGCCGAUAACUCGGGGAUAGCCUUUCGAAAGAAAGAUUAAUACCCGAUGGUAUAAUCAGACCGCAUGGUCUUGUUAUUAAAGAAUUUCGGUUAUCGAUGGGGAUGCGUUCCAUUAGGCAGUUGGUGAGGUAACGGCUCACCAAACCUUCGAUGGAUAGGGGUUCUGAGAGGAAGGUCCCCCACAUUGGAACUGAGACACGGUCCAA